GACAUUUGGUAGAGACUGUUGAAGCCACCUGGUCCCAGCAGACCCCAGAAAACGGUCACAUUCGCUGGUGCCGGAACAAGGUCAUUACGAGUGAAGCCUGGUGCCAGAUGUGU
Ribosomal RNA from Panthera pardus (leopard), 113 nucleotides. The record is from Ensembl. Lineage: Eukaryota; Metazoa; Chordata; Mammalia; Carnivora; Felidae.